Marinobacterium stanieri is the source of this 73-nucleotide transfer RNA. It matches the Rfam family "tRNA". Rfam says of the family: Transfer RNA (tRNA) molecules are approximately 80 nucleotides in length. Their secondary structure includes four short double-helical elements and three loops (D, anti-codon, and T loops). The record is from Rfam. NCBI's taxonomy places the organism in Bacteria, Pseudomonadati, Pseudomonadota, Gammaproteobacteria, Oceanospirillales, Oceanospirillaceae.
GGGCGAAUAGCUCAGUUGGGAGAGCAUCUGCCUUACAAGCAGAGGGUCGGGGGUUCGAACCCCUCUUCGCCCA